Poecilia latipinna (sailfin molly) is the source of this 1827-nucleotide long non-coding RNA. RefSeq lists it as uncharacterized. The transcript is spliced from 3 exons. The record is from RefSeq and is a predicted model, not a curated record. Lineage: Eukaryota; Metazoa; Chordata; Actinopteri; Cyprinodontiformes; Poeciliidae.
ACAACCAACAUUAGAUGAAUUAUUGCCAUCUGCUGGAGUGUGGGCCAGAACAUCCAUCUUACCUACCAAAACUACAUUCUUAAUCCCAUUUUUUAUUUUAAAUGUUAUAAUUCCAUUCAUCCUGUCAUAUUUAACCAUGUUUAAUGUCACACCAUGUUUUCUUGCAUCUUGUUUUAAUUUUUUCACUACUCACCCUUUAUUUUUCCAGUGUCUUCUGCUGGAUGUUUACCCGCCAAAUGCAAAGACUGACAGAUAAGCGGAAAUGCACUAUCAAAAUAAAAGCGGGGUCUGGACUGAAUCCUUCAAUGCUGACGCAUCGCCGUUACUGUAAAUCCAACGGUAAACGUCUGGAUUGCCUUUAAAACGGCUCGUUCUUUGUAAGAUGAACUAUUGUUUAAGAAAAGACGAAAUGAAACAACGACGGAGAUGACAGGAAGCGAUUCGGAAGUCCCAACUUCCGGUUAACGGCAAGUGAAUUUGCAUAUUAGCUAUAUAGCUAUCUCAGCGCUUGUUAUUUAAAUAUUUAGUUGAAAACUGUGACGUUUAUAACAUGAAUGAAUCAGUAACAUGGUGAGAAUGUGAUUGCCUUUAAAACGACUUACUCUCUGUUUUAAGCUGAAAUGUUUAAGAAAAAACGAAAAAAAACGAAGACGAAGAGAUGACAGGAAGCGAUUCAGAAGAACCAACUUCCGGUUAUCGGCAAGUGAAUUUAUAUAUUAGCUAAAUAUUUAGCUCUGUUCUAGCUAAGUAAACAGCUAGUUCAGAGUUCAAAUAUUUAGCUUGUAAACAAAGCAUUCUUAAAAUGAACAACACUGUGAAAAUAUGACUGAAAAAUUAACUCCCCAUUUCAUUCUCUUAGUACAGGUUAAAUAACCUGCAGUAAUUUGGCAUCAGAAAUACCAAAUUAUUCCUGGUAAGGUUUGAGUUUACAAACGGCAGCCCAUAAUGUCCUGCAUUUUCUAGAUCCGGGGUGUCCAAUGUGUGGCCCGGGGCCAUUUGUAGCCCUUAAAAUUAUGUUGUUAGGCCCCUAUAUACAAGUGAAGAAGAGUAAAAAGAAUGGCCAACAAAAUAUAAAACAAUUGAUCGCAAAAUGUUGGACAUUUAUGGGAAAUUGUCUGUUUUCUUUUAAUAGGGAAACUGUCUGAAGCCCUUUUUAGGUUUAGGGUCUUGGAAAAAUCACAAAACUAAUUUUUUCAUGUUUAAUUUUGGGUCCGGCAGGUAGUUGAAAUUUGUGAGUUUUGGCCCCAGGUACAAAAAGUUUGAAACCCCUGAUUUAUUCAUUUUAAUCAUCUGUGUAGAAGCAAGGAAACAUGAUGCUGUACUGGUUCUACUGGGACUCUGUCCUUUAAGCUGGUAAAUCUGCGUCACUACCUAACCCUCCUCUUCCUCCUCUUCCUCCUCAGCUGUCAGGACGGUGAAGCUGCCAAAAACUGGGAACAGGAAAAUGAAAAAUGAAAGCUUGGCAUGAUAAAACUGCAGCCAAGGGAGGAGGUGACGGCUCAGCUGACCUUUUGACCCCUGAUGGAGGGCAGCGGGCCUGAAUGCUCCGUGUGGCUCUGCGUGUCAUAGCGGCAGAACUCCGAGGCCCACGGCCAUUCCUGUGUGAGCCCGCGAUAAAAGAGGGGAGCUUCCCGUCGGUCCUCCUCGCCCCUCUCCCCCCGUGAAGAGCGACUUGGCAGGCAGUGUGGAGGUAAACAGCCUCUGAAGCGGCGCUCACCUGGCAGCUCCAGGGGAAACAUCAGAGGCAGCUGCUGCUCACCUGGCAGACAGGACCGACCUCUGACCCGGAUCAGAACCGUUUCAUCUGGAUCUGCAGAUCCACAACCA